RNAcentral lists this signal recognition particle RNA (147 nucleotides) under Gorilla gorilla gorilla (western lowland gorilla). RNAcentral describes it as "Metazoan signal recognition particle RNA". It matches the Rfam family "Metazoan signal recognition particle RNA". From Rfam's summary of the family: The signal recognition particle (SRP) is a universally conserved ribonucleoprotein. It is involved in the co-translational targeting of proteins to membranes. The eukaryotic SRP consists of a 300-nucleotide 7S RNA and six proteins: SRPs 72, 68, 54, 19, 14, and 9. The record is from Rfam by way of RNAcentral. Lineage: Eukaryota; Metazoa; Chordata; Mammalia; Primates; Hominidae.
GCCAGGCAUGGUGGUGCGUGCCUGUAAUCUCAGCUACUUGGGAGGCUGAGGCAGGAGAAUCGCUUGAACCUAGGAAGCAGAGGUGGCAGUGAACUGAGAUCAGGCACUGCACUGCAGCCUGGGGGAUAGAGUGAGACUCUGUCUCAA